AGCCUAGGGAAAAUUAUCCUAGGUGAAACCUGCCCGGUGACUAGAUUUUAACGGCCGCGGUACUUUGACCGUGCUAAGGUAGCGUAAUCAGUUGACUUUUAAAUGAAGUCUUGUAUGAAUGGAUUUAUGGGAUUAAGCUGUCUCUUUUGUAUUCUAUUGAAAUUACUAAUUAGGUGAAAAGGCCUACAAAUGAAAAAAGACGAGAAGACCCUUAGAGUUUUAAUAAGUAGGUUUUUGUUGGGGCGACAAGAAGACAUAUAUAACUCUUCUAUUAGAAAAAUACUUGCCGGUUCUUUUAAGUAUGAAUAAACUACCUUAGGGAUAACAGCAUAAUCCAGUUUGGGUUUGUGACCUCGAUGUUGGACUAGGAAAAUUAUGCCCUAGCAGGGUGUAUAUUUAGGUUCUGUUCGAACUUUUAUUCCU
This 423-nucleotide ribosomal RNA is filed under the name Aplysia dactylomela (spotted sea hare). RNAcentral describes it as "partial 16S ribosomal RNA". It matches the Rfam family "Bacterial large subunit ribosomal RNA", at positions 1829 to 2597 of the family's 2925-position model. The record is from RNAcentral. Lineage: Eukaryota; Metazoa; Mollusca; Gastropoda; Aplysiida; Aplysiidae.